This 254-nucleotide unclassified non-coding RNA is filed under the name plant metagenome. RNAcentral describes it as "partial contains small subunit ribosomal RNA, internal transcribed spacer 1, and 5.8S ribosomal RNA". The stretch from base 1 to 53 matches the Rfam family "Eukaryotic small subunit ribosomal RNA", at positions 1778 to 1831 of the family's 1831-position model. The record is from RNAcentral.
GGAAGUAAAAGUCGAACAAGGUUUCCGUAGGUGAACCUGCGGAAGGAUCAUUACUGAGUGAGGGCCCUCUGGGUCCAACCUCCCACCCGUGUUUAUUAUACCUUGUUGCUUUGGUGAGCCCGCCUCACGGCCGCCGGGGGGCAUCUGCCCCCGGGCCCGCGCCCACCGAAGACACCUAGAACUCUGUAUGAAGAUUGCAGUCUGAGCAAAAACUAAAUAAGUUAAAACUUUCAACAACGGAUCUCUUGGUUCCG